CCCCCACAAAACUCAUAAAAACAGAAAAUAGGGGGUAUGAAGCUCACCUUGGGUGUGGUUUCGGUUUUGGAGAGAAGAUGGAAGAAAAAUGAAGUGAUUUUUGGCCUUAGCACCCUUUGAUGAAGAUUUCGACCUCUAGGAUGCAAGAUCACAAGAGUGAAUGAAUUUAGAAGAGAUUUUAAUGAAGUAGAGGGAGUUAGAUCAUAGGUUAAACAUUAACUUACCUUAGAUGGNAGAGGUUUUUGAUGGAAUGAAGUAGCUAGAUCAUGGAUAUAAGUAAAAACUUACCUAAGAUGAUGAUUAACUUGCAAGAUCCUCUUGAAAGCUUCUUAGAUUCACGAAAAUUUUGAAGAAGGAGGGAGGAUUGUUAUUCUAGACUUAGAGAGUUUGGAAGAGAUUUUUGUGGUGUGUGUGUGUUUGCAUGUGGCCGAGAGUGAGAGAGAGAGGAAGAAGAAAUGAUAUUUGAGGUGAUGUUUGCAUGGAGAUAUGAGUUUCUUGCAUGGAAGUCCUUUGGUUAAUAGUGAGGUGGCAUGAGAAAGUCAAACCUUUCUCUUGGGUUUGUUUUGGGCCGAAAACAUGGAAGGAAAAAGGAAAAUUUGGGCUUUUUGCUCCUAAGCCCA
Molecule: long non-coding RNA, 620 nt
Filed under: Lactuca sativa (garden lettuce)
Lineage: Eukaryota; Viridiplantae; Streptophyta; Magnoliopsida; Asterales; Asteraceae
Description: long non-coding RNA (LSAT_LNC003789)
Source: RNAcentral